UUUACGUUAUUUCAAAAAAUUCGUUUUAAUGAAUUAUCGUUUACAACGAUCGGAGAAUUUGGUGAUCGCUUGGACGAAAAGCGGUUCGUUCUCCCAUUACGGGUUUCGUUGUUGUUGUUUCCCAUUCAAAGAUCGUUCGAAACGUCAAAAAAAUCGGAAAGGAUUAUAAAACGAAGAAUAAAAACCGUAAAAAAAUCCUGCAAAGUCGUAAUUUUUCUCAGUGUUUCUAGCUGCGCCUGAAAAUCAUGACGAAAUUAUUGAGAAAUUGGUAAGCGAUUGAAAAAGUGUUCGCUCUAGUUGCUCCCUUAGGUGGGUCCAUUUUUUUCUUCGCAUUGCGGCAUCGUGUUGCCCGAAGGGAAAAAAUGCUGAGCGGUAGAAACCCAAAACCUGCAUCUCAAAAGACAAGUAUCCUCAGCCGCGAGUUUGAAGAGCAACGUGCGCUGCGUGCUGGUUAUUCUCCUUCGUCUGCACGGCAGAGGCGAGUUCUCAAGGAUGACGCAGGACCAAAAGCAGAGGGACGAGGCUGGAAGAAUGCUGAAAAACGAUGUCGAAACGAUGGCCGAUUUGAGUUUAUUUCAUUAACGGAAAUUCCAUUCGAUUAAUUCGCAAAUGAUUGUUUGUUUUCGAGCAACUUCGGUCGCUGAAACUUGAAUUAUUCGAAGGGCGAGAGACGAUAAGAAUUUGCGAGGUCGUGAAAAUACGAGCAAACGAGUCUGAGGCUCGCAAAACGUAAAAAUCACGUGAGAAAAUCGUCUCGGCGGACAAUCGUGAAAAAUGUUGUGAAGAGAUUCAGUCGAAAUAAGCGCAGUGGCCGAAACAACUUUAUUCACGGGGAAGUGCUGGGUUCCGAAUCCGAGGCAGUGACUAUUAAAUGGUCCUAAAGACAGUAAUGGAAGGAGAGAAUGACCAGGCGAGAAGUUUCGUUGAGUUUUUUAGUCGAGCGCGCAACGAGGACGACGAGGACCAAGUGGCUCGAGGAGGGCGGCCAGGGGAGCCAUAAAUCGUGCCUGUACGCUGUUGCAAUGCCGAGAGCCUAGACAUCGACAACGAGCACUUGAGUCGUAGGAAAAAAACGGAGAGUGGAAAAAAGAAUUGAGAGAAAAAGAUGGAGGGAGAGAGGAAUAUAAAACGAUAAAGAGAACUUGACGCCAAACCUCGCUGUAUAGUCGUUAAUACCGAUCUCCCAAUAUGACUUUUAUGGAGUAAACAAAAGUGUCUGUCCACGAGCUAAGCAUAGAGUUGCCUAUCGAGACACUCUCCUCCGGCUGAAUUUCUGGGAGUGCUAAUUGGAGUCAUGGAAUUAGUGACGAGCGAGUCGUCACACGAUGAAGCUCGAAAGAUCUUUGGGAUCGAACUCGAUCGCCGUGCAUCGGUGGAAAUGUAGUUUCUCCGGAGAUGCGAUUCGAAAAGUAAAAACAGUAAUAUCUGCUGGGCAUUUGGGAGAGGAAGGAAAAGUGUCGAGCGCCACGAUUCAUCGGGGUUGGUUGAAAUGAUAAGGAAAAAGGAGAAUCGCUCGAGCAGCACCGUCAACCCUCUGACCCUCGAUUGCCCUCGCGUGGCUACUCGGAUCGAUACUUUAUUUGGCCUACGUAAUGGCGUAACUGAGCGCGUAUGUUCCCGGAGGAGCGGAAGCGUGUCCACGUUAUAGGAUAUAUUUGGUGGCGCGUACGAGUGUAUUCAGGGCGGCCAUUACUCUUGGAUACGCGCGGGAUGACACAGAGGGCCGUAUCUGCCGCGAUGCGGACAACUUAAUUACCAUGGGGUCAAGCACGGAAUCUCGGAUUACAUAAUUAACGGCCUCGAGAAGGCUUUGCAGGUGAAACAGGAACUGGAAAUUUCCGGUUAACCGGAAACCACGUGAUCGCUGGAGGGCUGCAAUGGCGCGUCACUUCCGCAGGGCAGAGAUUUCGCCUCGGCGUAAUCGCAGUUGAGGACGAUUGUGCUCGCCCCGGUGUGGCGAUGCAACCGAGUCUGGUCCCUUAGCGACCCUUUUGCAUGCGGCGACAUCUCCUCAACGCUGCUCGCCAUUUCCAAACAGAUUUUUAUCGCUAUUUUCUCACCGAAAAUCAAACCGUUGCCAAAAAGCAAUGUUCGCCUACUGGACGAAGGACCGUGAGAAAAGUGAUUUUAUUGCUCCAGAAAAGGGCAUCGAUAUUGUCAUCGUUUUAUUGCGCUACAGUCCUCGCCCAAAUUAGCUAAAUACACAGAGGAACGGCAGCAGCGGCAACACCAGUCCGGAGACAAGCCAAUGGCGUUCGAGGCACGUGAUGGGUCUCCGCAGGUGCACCCGGGCGACCCGAACCUCAAAUCGCACCUGCUGUUGCUGCUGUUCACGGUUCUUACUUACAUAGACUCUUCGGUACGGACCACUGGACGUUGUAUACCAGCAGCCUUCUUACCUGCGAGUCUUGUUUGUCUCCUCGAGGAGGCGAUUUUCAGACAAACCGCAAACUUCAUAAUACGCCGCUUGUAAAUAAUGGGCGUUCAUUAAGGUACUUCAUGCACGAAACGAUUUUCUUAAGGAAGUCUUGAAAUUUACACCCAAUUUAAAUGGCUAGUCGACUGACACUCAUAUCAAAUUUUGAAGGCUUCGUUCUGUUGAUUAUUGAGAUAAAUGUGUUUAAAUAUGAAGAAAAAUACACAGGCUUGUAGGGACCAUUUGUAAAAAAUCGUUAAUCUUUCCAUGUAACGAAUAAACGCUUCUUAUCGAAGUUUAUGAAACAGUA
RNAcentral lists this long non-coding RNA (2726 nucleotides) under Venturia canescens. RNAcentral's name for it is "uncharacterized LOC122412616". The record is from RNAcentral. Lineage: Eukaryota; Metazoa; Arthropoda; Insecta; Hymenoptera; Ichneumonidae.